GAUGAAGAACGUAGCGAAAUGCGAUAAGUAAUGUGAAUUGCAGAAUUCAGUGAAUCAUCGAAUCUUUGAACGCACAUUGCGCCCGCCAGCACUCUGGCGGGCAUGCCUGUCCGAGCGUCAUUUCAACCCUCAGGCCCCCCGGGGACUGGUGUUGGGGAUCGGCCCGCCCUGGCGCGGCGCCGUCCCCGAAAUACAGUGGCGGUCUCGCUGCAGCCUCCCCUGCGUAGUAGCACACCUCGCAUUGGAGAGCGGCGCGGCCACGCCGUGAAACCCCAACUUCUGAUAGUUGACCUCGGAUCAGGUAGGAAUACCCGCUGAACUUAAGCAUAUCAAUAAGCGGAGGA
RNAcentral lists this unclassified non-coding RNA (344 nucleotides) under soil metagenome. Its description in RNAcentral is "partial contains 5.8S ribosomal RNA, internal transcribed spacer 2, and large subunit ribosomal RNA". The stretch from base 1 to 120 matches the Rfam family "5.8S ribosomal RNA", at positions 35 to 154 of the family's 154-position model. The record is from RNAcentral.